RNAcentral lists this long non-coding RNA (538 nucleotides) under Medicago truncatula (barrel medic). RNAcentral's name for it is "lncRNA gene48426". Lineage: Eukaryota; Viridiplantae; Streptophyta; Magnoliopsida; Fabales; Fabaceae. The record is from RNAcentral.
GAACAACACAUAAGUUAUUACAUUGAAUAAGAAAAAUCGCAUCUGUGCCACAAGCUAGACAAAGGGGUGGACAAUACUUGUCUCAAACGAAAAUUGUUGAAGAUUCCCUAAUCUAGAGAUAGUUUACGGAUGAAGGAAAGGAUUUCCUCCGAAACAAUUUGAGCUUUCUCUUGAUGUAUAUGGUGGUGACCAUCUAGUAUAACCACUUCAAGGUUGGGAACAAGACUCUUGAAAAUAUCACCUUCCACAAAAUCUUUUGUACCCCCAUUUUGAAAACCAACAUCUUUGUCUCCAGCAAUAAACUUAGUUGGAACUGUUAUCUUUGAUCCUUGCCAUGGUGCUAGAAGCUCCCAGCUUCUGUCCAUUGCGCGGUAGUAAUUGAAUGCACCAGUGAAACCAGACUCUUGGAAUUUGUCUGCAAAAACCAUGAGUUCUUCCUCAGUUAUCCACGACGGCAAAACCGAAGGAGUUGGCAAGAAAUCAACGAUCUCCAUGCCAGGAGGAGCUGUUAUAAAAUGUGUCCAUGUAAUCAGUAAAA